RNAcentral lists this long non-coding RNA (283 nucleotides) under Lathyrus oleraceus (garden pea). RNAcentral's name for it is "Pisum sativum (pea) long non-coding RNA (PSAT_LNC036503)". Lineage: Eukaryota; Viridiplantae; Streptophyta; Magnoliopsida; Fabales; Fabaceae. The record is from RNAcentral.
GAAGAUUGUUGAAGAAGGUAGUGUGGAUCAGUGGGGGGCCAUGGUAGAGGUCUACGACAACAAAGGUAGAACUGAUAUGGGUUUUCAGCAAGGUUCAUCAAUUGCUAGGUCUGAGGAUAUCCAACUUAGCUUCCGUAGUGGAGGGUUCAUUCAUGGCAAUGAACAACACUUAGCUGCUGUGCUAGAGGAUGACGAAGAUGACUGCACCAGUUUUGUGACGCAUGGAAAGGCUUGCAACAAUUGGACUGCUGUUGACAUUCCUGUUAUUUUGAAUCAAUUUAAG